This is a long non-coding RNA of Carya illinoinensis, 346 nucleotides long. RefSeq lists it as uncharacterized. The transcript is spliced from 3 exons. The record is from RefSeq and is a predicted model, not a curated record. Lineage: Eukaryota; Viridiplantae; Streptophyta; Magnoliopsida; Fagales; Juglandaceae.
GGAUUGACCAUUUUUUAUGUGAAAAGUCAUCUGCAGGUUCAUGUACACUUCAAGCAUUUUUACUGAACUUAGCAAAUGGGUUUUCCAUGAAAGAGGGCAUCUCAAGGUAAUUUGGCUUCAUUUGUGUUGAUGUUUGAGCAUGGAAUGGAGUUGGAUAAUGCUAAGAUAUUUUGAAGUGUUGGGAUUAAGUGAUGGAGCAGUUUUGAGUUUGUAUGACAUGAUUUGGUAUUGGUUUCUAAAACUUGAAUGUAUUGGGAAUGGAUAAGUUUGUAAAAACAAAUGUAAAUUUUUAUAAUAUUUUCUUUUUAAAUUAUUGUACGUGUCAAUUUUGAUCUCUAAUGUUGGA